This 7269-nucleotide long non-coding RNA is filed under the name Salvia miltiorrhiza (redroot sage). RNAcentral's name for it is "long non-coding RNA (SMIL_LNC005533)". Lineage: Eukaryota; Viridiplantae; Streptophyta; Magnoliopsida; Lamiales; Lamiaceae. The record is from RNAcentral.
ACGGUUCACGGCCCUAUCUCAAGGGGCUCACGUAUUUUAACUAAUAUUUGUACUUAAGAGUUCUUACAGCACAUGAUAAAUAGAUUUUGGAAAAGUAUUCGAACGAAUAUGAUAAACACCAUAACAUGAAAAGGUAACACGUUAACCAGUGGCGACUCAGGUACUUCGCUGAACUAAAGUUUAUCACUAUAUUAUCUCAUUGAAGCAUGUGAGCAUGAUGAGAAAAUAGUAACCUCGACAUUUGGGCCAAACCAUGACUUAUAUUAUCCUUGAUGAGACUAAUGAAAUUAUAACAUUGUCUUGAAAGCUGCACAACUCCUGCAUAUGUGCCUAUACUUGAAACAUGAAUUGAUUAGUACGAAGCUGCACACCUUUUGCAUAUGUGCUAAGAUUUAAAACACGAUUUGAAUUAUCUUACUUGGGGAUCAUAGUUACGCCAGCCUUGUCACAAUCAUCAAAAGUAUUAAAAUCAACCACACAUAUACACAUAACAUAUUUAUUCGAAUCAUGCACAUGUUACCAGGGGAGGGAGUAAGGUAUAUACCCUUAUUGGCAUUCAUUCGAAAAAAUUUCAAAUCGGGAAUGAUAAUUUACAGCACUUGAGAACCUACUUCGGCAGAAGUGUAAGCAGCAUAGUGGAGAAAUACUGUUGUCGCAUAUACUUAAGCCCAUCGCGGGAAGAACACUGCUCUUGCAAACAUUUAAGCCCAUCAUGGGAAAUACUGCUCUCGCAGAUACCUAAGCACAUCGCGGGAAAUACUGCUCUCGUAGUCACCUAAGCCCAUCGCGGGAAAUACUUCUCUCGCAUACAUCUAAUGUAGGAAUAUCUAAGCCGCAUAGCAAAAAAUAUUGCUCUUGAAGAUAUCUAAGCCGUUUUCAGAAUGCCUAAGUUGUUUACAGUGCAGAAUGUCUUAAGCCAUUUUCAGUGUAUCUGAGCCGUUUUCAGCUAAGCAGUGUUCAGUUCAGAAUAUCCCAGCAGUGUUCAGCACGGAAUAUCUCAGUCGUGUUCAACACAGAAUAUCUAAGUCGUGUUCAGAUCAUAAUAUCUAAUCCAUGUUCAAAUCAGAAUAUCUAAGUUGUGUUCAACUCAGAAUGUCUAAGUAGUUUUCAAUGCAGGAAGUCUAAACCACUCUCAGCUUUGACAAGAUUGCAUACUACUUCGACAUCUUCUUAUGAUGGUUUUCUUGUUCGUCCAUCACAAAGUAUUUAUAUUGCUCAUUUCUGCAAGACAUUUAAUAUGUGGUAUUAGCACUGGCUUUCUUAUGCGCCCAAUAAAAUGAAAGUCGAUCAUAUUUGACAACAUUCAAGAAUCAAAGAAGAAAUCAAGUAUGCAACCACAACUCCAAAAUCAAGGAAAAAUUCUUAUCUUUGAUUAUUGGCAGCACUGAAAAUUCUUAUGUGUUGAUAAUUUGCAGGACUAGCAUAUUUUGUCUUUACAGUUUUGCAAAAACUGACGCUUUUUAUCUCUGAUGAGUUUUGACCCUCCAACCUUUGUUUGUGGGCAUCGCUGAAAUGCUUGGUCUUUUACUGUGAAGUAUUUUGAAUGUGUCAUGUUAUAGAGUGAAAACAUCUCGUCUUAAAUGAAUUGCAGGGCUAUAAUACCUUGUUUAUUUAACUGACUUGAGAGAGCGGCACAACGCUGGCUCUAACAACACUUUAUUGGUUGAACACGAAGAAGACCUGGCUCAACCAGACCAGAGGGAGUAGCUAAUGAGGACUAAAUUGUGUACCAGCGUUGUGCUUAACAGUGCUGGAAUAUUUCUCUUAAUUAUUAUUAUUAUAAAAUUUUAUUAUUACUGUUAUCUUGAAUAUUUAGUGCAGUGCUGACUUAACAUGGCUUACUUUAUUAAUCGAGAAUUAUCUUAGCGGCUUAACCCAGCUCUCGCCUUGGCAAUCUAACCUUGGCUCCCAGCUUGGACAAUUCGACGUUACUUCAUCUCGGAUAUCUUAACGUUGACUAUUCAGUGCUGACUAAUGUAAUAGUGGCUUAGGCCCAUCUACUUGAAUUAAUAGGCCUAAGGGCUUUAGGUUUACUUUAAUGCAUAUAAAUAGAAGCUUGAUGAUUAGAUUGAGGAGCCUCCUUCAUUUUCUUAGCUCAUAAUGUAAAGUAUAACACUCAAGCAUAGUGAAAAAUCCUGUGGACGUAGAUCUUAUGAUCGAACCACGUAAAAGCCUCACGUCGUUUAUCGUUUUCCUUCAACCCGUUAAUUCUUGUUACAUCAAUGCCAUUGUAACAUUCAUUAUCAAUUGUUGAUUCAAAAUUAUCAAUAUAUAAGUAUGAUAUGCCAUUUAUACAUAUCAUUUUUAGAAAGUAUAUAUGAAAAAUAAUUGAAAAUAAAAGUUACUAAUUAUAGUAAUAUGUAGCCGUUAUUAUAUUACAUAGAUAUAGAUUAUAGUGGCUUGAUUAAUCUUAAAUGUUCAAAAUUUCUUUUAUACUUGUUGACUAAAUGUUCAUGAAAGAAAGAAUAAAUAAAUACAUAUAUUUAAAAUUCAUAUAUGAUCAUAAAUCUUAUCUAUAUUAAUAUUUUGAUAAUUUUAUUGAUGUUUAUUAACUAUUUUAUAUACAUUUACCGAAUAUUUUAUGAUUAUUUUAGACAAAAACACGUUAUUACAUAGUAAUUAAUUAAAAAAAAUAUGUUAUUACAUACUCCCUCCAUCUUAUAAAACAUGAACAAUUGGGAGUGGAACGAGUCUUAAGAAAUGUUAGUUGAGAGUUAUUAUGAGCUGAAAAUGAGUCCUACUUCAUAAAGUGUUAUGAAAGUAAUGAGUUAAUUGAGGAAAAGUAUUGUAAUGGGUAAAAUCCGUAUAAGCCGAAACUAUACGGCCCAACGCAGCUCGAAACGCCCAGCUCGUCUCGGCAGACAGAGCAGCAAGAGCUCAGAGGCCAGAGCAGAGCAGCUCAGAGGUCAGAGCAGCACAGCUCAGAGGCCAGAGCAGAGCAACUCGGAGGCCAGAGCGUCGGCAUAGCCCGGAGGUACGUGCAACAGCGCAGCCCUGCCCGGAAGCGCUCGACUGCGCAGCGCAGCUGGGCAGCGUAACAGCGCAGCCCUGCGGCGCAUGCCGCACCCUGUCAUGAGUUAUAAUGGGUAAAAUCCGUAUAAGCCGAAACUAUAAGGCCCAACGCAGCCACAGGCGCCCAGCUCGUCUCGGCAGACAGAGCAGCAAGAGCUCAGAGGCCAGAGCAGCACAGCUCGAAGGCCAGAGCAGAGCAGCUUGGAAGCCAGAGCAGAUCAGCUCGGAGGCUAGAACGUCGGCGCAGCCCGGAGGCACGCACGUCAGCGCAGCCCGGAGGCUCGCGCAACAGCACAGCCCUGCCCGGAAGCGCUCGACUGUCCAAUGCAGCCCUGUCCGGCAGCGCUCGACUGCCCAGCGCAGCUCUGACCGGCAGCGCUCGACUGCCCAGCACAGCCCUGACCGGCAGCGCUCGACUGUCCAGCGCAGCCCUGACCGGCAGCGCUCGAUUGCCCAGCGCAGCCUUGUCCGGAAGCGCUUGACUGCGCAGCGCAGCCCUGAGGCACGCGCAACAGCGAGCCCUGCCCGGAACCUGGACUGCGCAGCGCAGCCCUGAGGCACGCACAACAGCGCAGCCUUGCGGCGCAUGCCGCACCCUAUCAUUCUAAUGGGUAAAAUUUGUAUAAGCCGAAACUAUACGGCCUAACGGGCCUGCCCGGUAAAACGAUCCAUACCACAUUCAUAGCAUAAGGUCCAAAGUAGGCCCAUAUGCGGGAAAUACGUGAACCCACUAGGAAAAACCCUAAACUUAACAGUUACUUGGUGACUAGGUCAGACGAGAGUCACGGAAGAUCGUUUCCUAAGAAGUCGGAACCGCUAGGGUUUCAAUGAGCAUUCCAACAAACCCUAACCCUAGUCGCCCCGUAACCUAUAUAUACUAAUUCACUAACGCAAUCAUGGUAUCCGCAACCACUCGUAUUCACUCUUACACUCGCACACGAUCUCUCACUCUCGUUAUCUCCCGCUCUCCCCGCUCUUCUGUUCCGCCUCCACGCUCACAACUCUCAAGGGUUCUGAUCGCUCGACUAGCCCUGCUAGCCCGGACGUCCGUCGCCCCUUAUUCCACAUCGCUCAAUAGCUUUGACUCCGGCCAGCGGGACACCCUGAUCAUCCGGAGAACACUCUUAUUACUAUCUAUUUCCUAUAAUUUAUUUAUUUUAUUACGUUACUCACGUCUGUUAUUUAUAUCAAUUCACUGACUUGAGCGUCGGAGGCCCUUCCAUCGACACCUCCACCGGUGCUCAUCGAAGGACUCUAACGUUGCUUGUGGUUUCAGGUUGCUAGUGCACGUCGAUCCAAACGUGACUGACGUCACUUCCGUAAUUAUCGGAUUCACCCCCAAUAAUUUGGCGCCCACCGUGGGGCCCUAGCAAUCAAAGAAUUCCGACAAGCCGUGCCUAAAUUACACCAUGAGUACUCCGAAUGAUGCACACGACCCGAACAAUGCCUCAAACCAAUUGGGUUCAACCCAAUCGGAGUUGCUUGCCCAAGUGGAGGUGAAUGCCCGAAAAAACAAAAUGCUGAACUACUCGCUCGGUUGAAUGCUUUCACCCAGAUCCAGACGCCUCCUCAGAUCCAAACACUUCGUACUAACCGAUUCCGAGUUCCUGUCAACCCCAUGGUGGACAUAGAUGAUAUCCUGCUCACACCCCAUGGAACUGAGAUCAACCCAGAUGACCCUUCAUCAUCGGUAAGAAAUAAUAGAUCGGAGACUAUCCAUCCUAACCUGGGUACCCUUCUUGUGAAUGCAGGUGAAACACGUACCCUAGAUCAGACGCCCGGAACAACCGAGACAAACGUAAUGGGUGCCCUCACCUAGGCCAACCUGGCGACUGGGGAAAUGGACCAGUCUACCUCGAUAGGCCAGACCGAUAUCGCCCAUGGGCAUGUAGUGCCAACAGGACCACACGAAGAUGCUCUCAUGCGUGACGCCCCAACGGGUCAACCAGAUGGACCAAGGCGAACAGUUCCAAUCGGUCAGAAUGGCAGCACUCAAGAUCAACCACCUCCUGGCGAUCAGGGCCGACAUGGCAUGCCCAGCACCCACCAGAACUUGGACCCCGCUUUGGCUAGAAGGUUGGCGGAUAUGGACGCCAUCAUUCAACGAAUCCCAGGAGUUCCGGCUCCGAUAAAGAAAAGUGCAUAGAGUUGUUACGCCGACUCUCCUUUCGUGGAUGAGAUAGCUUUGGUGGAGAUGCCCAGAAAAUUCAGCUUUCCACACAUGAAGAUGUUUGACGGCGCAUCCAACCCAGACGACCAUAUAGCUCAGUACCGUCAAAGAAUGUUCACCGUUGCUAUCCCUCGUGACAUGAGGGAGGCGUGCAUGUGUAAGAGGUUCGGUUCUAGCCUAAUAGGACCAGCCCUCCAGUGGUAUACGAAUCUUCCUAAUAAUUCAAUUAGUUCUUUUGCUAAACUAACAGAUGUUAUUGUUGAACAGUACGCAAGCAGCAGGAAAUUAGAAAAAAAUCUCAGAAGACUUGUACGCCAUUGUCCAAAGGCAUGGCGAACCUCUUCGGGACUACAUCGGGCGCUUCAACAAAGAGAAAGUGUCAAUCACCAACUGCAGCGAACAAACCGCUAUCACGGCCUUCCGUAAGGGCCUUCUGCCAGGGUCGGACUUAUACAAGACACUUACUAAGUAUCCAUGCAAGACUAUGGAAGAUGUGUUGGUCCAGGCUUGGGCUCAAAUUAAGUGGGAAGAGGACCAGUACAACAUGCAGAGAGUCUUCCCGCCAGAGAGACCCGAAAGAUACUACAGGGUCCAUAGGAGGACCGGUCGUGACAAUCGUGACAGACGAACCGAGCCCUACACGCCAUCUCAUAGAGGAAACAAAGGGAAAAGAGAUACAGAAAAUGAGGGAUAAAAAAUAAGGAGAUAGCGUACAAGAAUGGAAAUAUUCAUGUUUUUGUGAGACGCCCCAAAAUGACAAAUUAUUCAUAUUUUUGUGAGACGAAGGGAGUUCUUAAUAUGAUCAUUUAGGGUAGAGUUAGGAUACAAACUCAUUUUAAAAUAAAAACUACAAACCAUGAAAAUGUAACAAAUUCUAUGAGUAGAAAAGAUUAUUGCCUCCAUCCCAUAAAUAAUGGCUUAUUUCUUUUGGGCACGAAGAUUAAGGAGUGUUUAAUUAAGGUGAUAAAGUUGGUGGACCACAUAUUUAAGCAUUAAAUUAGUAAAAAUUGUGUACGUGUGUUGGCCUAAUGGUAUAAAGUUAAUGCCUAAGAUCUGAGCUCCUGUGUUAAAUCAUUAGCUGCGCGGUCUUUAAAAUUUAUUUAUUUACUUUAUAAUUUAACCCAAAAAAAUUAGUAAAAGUAAUUGUGAGUUAAUGAAAAAGUGGUGGCCCAUUUUUUACUUUAAUUGCAACUUGAACAUACCUCUACUUUAAGUUAUAAAUCUGCCAAAAUUCAAACAUGUUGCGAAUUUUAACAUCUCAUAAAAAGAAUCACUUGAAUCAUUGAUGUUUUUUCAUUUCAAAAAGUGAGCAAAAAUUUCUAUCAUCUCAAUACUCCAAUAAAUCCAUCAGCCACAUCACAAGAACAUGCAAUAAUCAGAAAGGUAGGGACCCAACAACAUGCAAUAAUAUGAAAAUCCAUCACCCAUAGUACAAGAACACAGUAAAAUGGUAGAUCUUACCCAAAAAAAAGUCGAUAGCAGGAUCUUCAACAUAGAAAUGAGCAGGUGUAUAAGCCACCAACCAAUCUUCGGAAACAACUUCGUCCCAAGAUUCCUCACAUAGUAAAGAACAUGAAUUAAAGAUAGAAACAACAGAUACAAAAGAACUGUUUGUAACCAGAGGAGAGAUGGUACUCCUUACAUGGAUUUGGGAGGGGCGACGAUAGAUCGAAGCCCUAGCCACGAGUGAAGCCCAAGCGAAUCCGGAGCUCUACCAUAUUCAAACGUAGCUUCAAUCUUGUCCAAGCCGAGGGAGGCCUCUCUAGAGUCUGAUAAAGGCAGUGACCAUGGGAAAUCAAGCUCCGGCACCGAGCCAUCACUGCAGCGCAAGAUUGAACGAAGAAGAAACGGCGACAGAGUAUUUUGGCCGCGAUAGAACAAAUUGGGGCAGAGGAUUAGGGUCGCGAUAGCAAGAGAGAUAGAGCGGUGCAAGACGAGAGACACAAGGCGACGCACGGUGGAAGAUCACCGAUUAGAUUUUCGGAGGAGAAAUAUAGAGCAGCGCAAGAGGAGAGAGCCACGUGUGGAGAUAGAUAGAGAGAGGCGUGGGUGGAAUUAGGGUUAGAGUAAAAAAAAUGGUUUAAAUA